Molecule: long non-coding RNA, 1110 nt
Filed under: Dicentrarchus labrax (European seabass)
Lineage: Eukaryota; Metazoa; Chordata; Actinopteri; Moronidae
Description: lncRNA (ENSDLAG00005005674.2)
Source: RNAcentral
AUGAUUCUGAUGAGCAGGGUAAAGACGUGGAAAGCUCAGAUGGUAGCAAGACGACGCCUUCCCCCAUGCGUUUGGGUCGGUCUAAGAAUACCAUGGUUGGCUGAAGUUUGUCCGUUGUGGGGAACUACAUUGGAUAAGUGGUUACCUGCUUCAUUGGCCAUAGCCAAAGUGCAUUACCCCAGAAAAAUUCUCUACUUUUGUAGAAAGUGUGCGGGGGGGUAUAGCACACUGGCAAAGGUAACUCGUCACACUCCCAAGUGUGGCACUAAACUGGGAGUCACUAAGUUAGGAACUUCCUUCACAUGUUCCCAUUGUCCUGGAAAGUUUGGCUCACAGCGCGGGCUGUCGAACCAUAAAAGGGCCAAGCAUACGACGAUUUACAUGAAUGAGGUGCGGACGUCAGUCAAGGAUACAACUGUCUGGAACCCCAGGGAAUUGGAAUGUUUGGAGGAGUUGCGCAGAGAAAAAGGGGGCAAACCUGGAUUCUACGUGGCUGCGUUGAGACGGUUGCCCCAAUUUGACAAGGCUCAAAUCAGGAACAGAUGCAGACCGUUGGCUACGACUGCACGUCUUAUGAAGGCCAAGACCUCCAUCUCCAACUCACCAGAGGUGCCAAAAGACCUUAAGUAUCUCAGGGCUGUCCUACCUGUGAUAGCAAAUGUGGAAUUUGUUAAUAAGAACUGGACUAACGUGUUGGAGGGAAUGCAGACAGUGAGGGGAGGGCUCUCCCCCCUGGAAGUCAAUUCAAGGGACACAUGCUGCUACGUCAAGAGGGCAAUCAAACAGAUGCGGGGGUGUACGGCCGGCACUUUGAUGAACUCGAAGCUGGUUGACAAGCCAAAGUGCUCAAAAAGAGUACAUGCUCUCAAGAAAAAACAUAAUUACAAGAUUUUACAAUCAUUGUACAGCAGAAACCAUGCAGAUGCGGCUAAAAUUAUACUUGACGGGAAGGUGAAAACUGCCUGUCGGGUUGAUGCCAAGAUGGUUGAAAGGGCUUACUGUGAGAUUUGGGGUGGCACAGAUGGCUUCAUAUCGUUGGGACAAUUUGGUAAUCUUCCCUCGGUGGAUAACAAUCUAUUCUUUGGGCUAAUAACCCCCAAGAAGCCCUGA